GCCUUCUUAGCUCAGUCGGUAGAGCAUCAGACUUUUAUCUGAGGGUCGUGGGUUCGAGUCCCACAGAGGGCG
Molecule: transfer RNA, 72 nt
Filed under: Toxocara canis (dog roundworm)
Lineage: Eukaryota; Metazoa; Nematoda; Chromadorea; Rhabditida; Toxocaridae
Rfam family: tRNA
About the family: Transfer RNA (tRNA) molecules are approximately 80 nucleotides in length. Their secondary structure includes four short double-helical elements and three loops (D, anti-codon, and T loops).
Source: Rfam by way of RNAcentral